Molecule: ribosomal RNA, 429 nt
Filed under: Gemmatimonadota bacterium
Lineage: Bacteria; Pseudomonadati; Gemmatimonadota
Description: Gemmatimonadetes bacterium partial 16S ribosomal RNA
Rfam family: Bacterial small subunit ribosomal RNA
Source: RNAcentral
UAGGGAAUCUUCGGCAAUGGACGAAAGUCUGACCGAGCAACGCCGCGUGAGUGAAGAAGGUUUUCGGAUCGUAAAACUCUGUUGUUAGAGAAGAACAAGGACGUUAGUAACUGAACGUCCCCUGACGGUAUCUAACCAGAAAGCCACGGCUAACUACGUGCCAGCAGCCGCGGUAAUACGUAGGUGGCAAGCGUUGUCCGGAUUUAUUGGGCGUAAAGCGAGCGCAGGCGGUUUCUUAAGUCUGAUGUGAAAGCCCCCGGCUCAACCGGGGAGGGUCAUUGGAAACUGGAAGACUUGAGUGCAGAAGAGGAGAGUGGAAUUCCAUGUGUGGCGGUGAAAUGCAUAGAAAUAUGGAGGAACACCAGUGGCGAAGGCGGCUCUCUGGUCUGUAACUGACGCUGAGGCUCGAAAGCGUGGGGAGCAAACAGG